Molecule: ribosomal RNA, 625 nt
Filed under: uncultured bacterium
Lineage: Bacteria
Description: bacterial SSU rRNA
Rfam family: Bacterial small subunit ribosomal RNA
Source: RNAcentral
UUGUGCAUGGGCGAAGCUGACGCAUCACGCCGCGCGCGGGAUGAAGGCCUUCGGGUUGUAAACCGCUUUCAGCAGGGAAGAAAUUGACGGUACCUGCAGAAGAAGCCCCGGCCAACUACGUGCCAGCAGCCGCGGUAACACGUAGGGGGCGAGCGUUGUCCGGAUUUAUUGGGCGUAAAGAGCUCGUAGGCGGUUCGGUAAGUCGGGUGUGAAACCUCCAGGCUCAACCUGGAGACGCCACCUGAUACUGCUGUGACUGGAGUCCGGUAGGGGAGUGUGGAACUCCUGGUGUAGCGGUGAAAUGCGCAGAUAUCAGGAAGAACACCAGCGGCGAAGGCGGCACUCUGGGCCGGUACUGACGCUGAGGAGCGAAAGCGUGGGUAGCAAACAGGAUUAGAUACCCUGGUAGUCCACGCCGUAAACGUUGGGCACUAGGUGUGGGUCUCAACCAACGAGAUCCGUGCCGCAGCUAACGCAUUAAGUGCCCCGCCUGGGGAGUACGGCCGCGAGGCUAAAACUCAAAGGAAUUGACGGGGGCCCGCACAAGCGGCGGAGCAUGUUGCUUAAUUCGAGGCAACGCGAAGAACCUUACCUGNGUUUGACAUGUAGAGAAAAGCCGCAGAGA